Molecule: ribosomal RNA, 408 nt
Filed under: Cryptocercus darwini
Lineage: Eukaryota; Metazoa; Arthropoda; Insecta; Blattodea; Cryptocercidae
Description: partial 16S ribosomal RNA
Source: RNAcentral
CGCUGUUAUCCCUAAGGUAAUUUAGUCUUAUAAUCAUUAAAAAUGGAUCAAAAACUUAUAAAUAAAUAUAAAAAAAAAUAAAAAGAGUUAUAUUAAUCUUCCCAUCACCCCAACAAAAUUUAAAUAAUAUUAAAAUUAUUACCCCACAAAAAAUAAAAAAUUAAAUUAAACUCUAUAGGGUCUUCUCGUCCCAAAAAAUUAUUUAGGCAUUUUAACCUAAAAUUUAAAUUCAACAAAAUAAAAAUUUAAGAAAGUAUAUACCUCGUCAAACCAUUCAUUCCAGCAUUCAAUUAAAAAACUAAUGAUUAUGCUACCUUUGCACAGUCAAAAUACGGCGGCCAUUUAAAAAUCAGUGGGCAGGCAAUACUUCAAAUAAAUUACAAGANGAAUGUUUUUGUUAAACAGGCG